UUCUCGCAUCGAUGAAGAACGCAGCGAUAUGCGAUAAGUAAUGUGAAUUGCAGAAUCCAGUGAAUCAUCGAAUCUUUGAACGCACAUUGCGCCCGCCAGCAUUCUGGCGGGCAUGCCUGUUCGAGCGUCAUUUCAACCCUCGACCUCCCUUUGGGGAAGUCGGCGUUGGGGACCGGCAGCACACCGCCGGCCCUGAAAUGGAGUGGCGGCCCGUCCGCGGCGACCUCUGCGUAGUAAACCAACUCGCACCGGAACCCCGACGUGGCCACGCCGUAAAACACCCAACUUCUGAACGUUGACCUCGAAUCAGGUAGGACUACCCGC
Molecule: ribosomal RNA, 324 nt
Filed under: Rusticoclytus rusticus
Lineage: Eukaryota; Metazoa; Arthropoda; Insecta; Coleoptera; Cerambycidae
Description: eukaryotic LSU rRNA
Rfam family: 5.8S ribosomal RNA (bases 1-130)
Source: RNAcentral